GAGGAAGUGUGUCGUGGACAUCCACAGGCCUGGCAGUGUGACGACGGAAAGUGUAUUCCUAUUAGCUGGCUUUGUGACGGUGCCGGGGACUGCCUGGACGGCUCCGAUGAGGGGAACUGUGAGAACUCCACGGCGUGCCCUGGCCAGAAAAUCCAGUGUCCGGGACAUUCUCAGUGUCACGAGGCUUGGGAACUCUGUGAUGUCCAUAGGGACUGUGAAGAUGGUCUCGAUGAAGCACGCUGCUCCCCGAACCGCUGCCUGGUGGGCCAGUGGCAGUGCAGGAACAAGGUGUGUGUCUCGGAUAGCUGGAGGUGCAAUGGGGUCAAUGACUGUGGGGACUCCUCGGACGAGGAUGCCUGUGCUUCCUGUCCAGAAGGCAUGGUUCGAUGUGAUGAAGGGAAAUGCAUCCUGGAAUCCCUGAUGUGUGAUGGGGAAGCAGACUGCACAGAUGGUGCUGAUGAACCCGUUACAUGUGGUGAGGACCCAAUUGUCGG
RNAcentral lists this long non-coding RNA (494 nucleotides) under Ursus americanus (American black bear). RNAcentral's name for it is "lncRNA (ENSUAMG00000022305.1)". Lineage: Eukaryota; Metazoa; Chordata; Mammalia; Carnivora; Ursidae. The record is from RNAcentral.